Molecule: ribosomal RNA, 301 nt
Filed under: uncultured bacterium
Lineage: Bacteria
Description: partial 16S ribosomal RNA
Rfam family: Bacterial small subunit ribosomal RNA
Source: RNAcentral
CAGCAGCCGCGGGAAUACGAAGGGGGCUAGCGUUGUUCGGAAUUACUGGGCGUAAAGGGCGCGUAGGCGGCCAUUCAAGUUAGAUGUGAAAGCCCUGGGCUCAACCUAGGAAUUGCAUUUGAUACUGUUUGGCUUGAGUUCGGGAGAGGUGAGUGGAAUUCCCAGUGUAGAGGUGAAAUUCGUAGAUAUUGGGAAGAACACCAGUGGCGAAGGCGGCUCACUGGACCGACACUGACGCUGAGGCGCGAAAGCGUGAGGAGCAAACAGGAUUAGAUACCCCCGUAGUCCCUGUCUCUUAUAC